This 548-nucleotide ribosomal RNA is filed under the name Chelonoidis niger. RNAcentral's name for it is "partial 16S large subunit ribosomal RNA". It matches the Rfam family "Bacterial large subunit ribosomal RNA", at positions 1819 to 2590 of the family's 2925-position model. The record is from RNAcentral. Lineage: Eukaryota; Metazoa; Chordata; Testudines; Testudinidae.
CCCCCAGCAAGAACAUAAGUAUUGGGGGUAAUGCCUGCCCAGUGACACUGUUAAACGGCCGCGGUAUCCUAACCGUGCAAAGGUAGCGUAAUCACUUGUCUUUUAAAUAAAGACUAGAAUGAAUGGCCAAACGAGGCUCUACCUGUCUCUUACAAAUAAUCAGUGAAAUUGAUCUUCCCGUGCAAAAGCGGGGAUAACACUAUAAGACGAGAAGACCCUGUGGAACUUCAAAUAUAAAAUCAACUAUCACCAACACCCACCCACGGGCCUUAUACCAAAUAGCACCUGAUUUUUAUUUUCGGUUGGGGCGACCUCGGAACAAAACAAAACCUCCGAAAAAUAAAAAACCCUUUAAACCUAGAACAACAGUUCAAAGUGCUUCCGGCAAAACGAUCCAAUACACUUGAUCAACGAACCAAGCUACCCCAGGGAUAACAGCGCAAUCCCAUCCUAGAGUCCCUAUCGACGAUGGGGUUUACGACCUCGAUGUUGGAUCAGGACAUCCUAAUGGUGUAGCCGAUAUUAAGGGUUCGUUUGUUCAACGAUUA